AGAGUUUGAUCCUGGCUCAGGACGAACGCUGGCGGCGUGCCUAAUACAUGCAAGUCGAACGCUUUUUCUUUCACCGGAGCUUGCUCCACCGAAAGAAAAGGAGUGGCGAACGGGUGAGUAACACGUGGGUAACCUGCCCAUCAGAAGGGGAUAACACUUGGAAACAGGUGCUAAUACCGUAUAACAAUCGAAACCGCAUGGUUUCGGUUUGAAAGGCGCUUUUGCGUCACUGGUGGAUGGACCCGCGGUGCAUUAGCUAGUUGGUGAGGUAACGGCUCACCAAGGCAACGAUGCAUAGCCGACCUGAGAGGGUGAUCGGCCACAUUGGGACUGAGACACGGCCCAAACUCCUACGGGAGGCAGCAGUAGGGAAUCUUCGGCAAUGGACGCAAGUCUGACCGAGCAACGCCGCGUGAGUGAAGAAGGUUUUCGGAUCGUAAAACUCUGUUGUUAGAGAAGAACAAGGAUGAGAGUAAAAUGUUCAUCCCUUGACGGUAUCUAACCAGAAAGCCACGGCUAACUACGUGCCAGCAGCCGCGGUAAUACGUAGGUGGCAAGCGUUGUCCGGAUUUAUUGGGCGUAAAGCGAGCGCAGGCGGUUUCUUAAGUCUGAUGUGAAAGCCCCCGGCUCAACCGGGGAGGGUCAUUGGAAACUGGGAAACUUGAGUGCAGAAGAGGAGAGUGGAAUUCCAUGUGUAGCGGUGAAAUGCGUAGAUAUAUGGAGGAACACCAGUGGCGAAGGCGGCUCUCUGGUCUGUAACUGACGCUGAGGCUCGAAAGCGUGGGGAGCAAACAGGAUUAGAUACCCUGGUAGUCCACGCCGUAAACGAUGAGUGCUAAGUGUUGGAGGGUUUCCGC
RNAcentral lists this ribosomal RNA (857 nucleotides) under uncultured bacterium. RNAcentral's name for it is "bacterial SSU rRNA". It matches the Rfam family "Bacterial small subunit ribosomal RNA", at positions 8 to 837 of the family's 1533-position model. The record is from RNAcentral.